This is a long non-coding RNA of Cervus elaphus (red deer), 421 nucleotides long. RefSeq lists it as uncharacterized. The record is from RefSeq and is a predicted model, not a curated record. NCBI's taxonomy places the organism in Eukaryota, Metazoa, Chordata, Mammalia, Artiodactyla, Cervidae. The transcript has 3 exons.
CAGAAACGGGCUGGGAGCUGGCGAGUAAAACGGGAGGGGGAAGAACUGAGCCUGCUUGUACUGGGGGAAGGAGCCAGCAGAGAAAUGGGGGACAGGUUCAGCAACCCGGAAGCAGAAGCAGAAAAAGUGGCUGGAUCCGUUUCAUCAAGUUUGGACCCUGCCUUACGAGGUCCUCCUCCUGACUGACCCUGAAACAGUACAUAUUGGGCUUCCAUCCAGUCCUUGAAUACAACAAACGUCUUCCUGCCUCUGGACCUUUCUGGAACCCCUGUGGACCUUCAAGGCUGGCUCUUCAUUUUCAUUCAGAUCUCUGUUCACAUGUCACCUCUUCAGAGAGAUCUUCUCCAACCCCUCUGUUGAGGGUGGGUUUCCUCCUCCUGUCUCUAUCACUCACCUUUGUUUUAUUUUCUUCAUAAACAUU